GAAAAUAGUUUCCGAUCUUUGGGAUUCCCGAGAUGGUCCAAUCUGCAAAAAGUUCAUUGCCAUUUCCAUCAAGGACACUGAGAACAAGAGUCUUAUCCGGAUUGGAUCCUGGGAAUUGAGAAGCUUCAGCAGGGCUUCCGCUGGGACUAGGAUCAGGAUGUGGACACCCCCAACCUGGACCGUCUGGCCGGGGAGGGCGUCAAGGCCAAGUACCUCAUGCCGCCCCUUGUCACAAUGACCUCCCCGUCCCACCUCACUGCCAUCCCAGAUCUUCUUGGCUUAGCAGCUGCAGACCGACAGUGCCCGAUCGAUCACCUCGGAAGCCUACAGGACCAUCACAGACGCUCUACGUUACUCUCACAGUGGAACAGCACGGCUCUUUGCUGCUAAAGUCACCCAGAACGGGAGUCAUUGUGACCCUUACGGUCCCCCGAGAGGAAGAAUGGAGACUUUUCUUAACUGUGUGGGGCCAAGAGAUAAGACCAGCUCUGGCUAAGCGGUGCCAAGAGUGUGGGCGGAAGACAACCCUCCAGGGUUUGCAGUCAACCAAGCCCCCGUACUUAUAGAAGUUAAGCCUAGGGCCCAGCCGGUUAGGCAAAAACAGGAGCCGGUCCCCAGAGAAGCUCUUGAAGGUAUCCAGGUCCAUCUCAAGCACCUAAGAAGUUUUGGAAUUAGAGGUCCUUGUCAGUCUCCAUGGAACACUCCCCUCCUGCCUGUUCCCAAGCCUAAGACCAAGGACUACUGGCCGGUACAGGAUUUGCGCUUGGUUAAUCAGGCUACAGUGACUUUACAUCCAGCAGUACCUAACCCGUACACAUUGCUGGGGUUGCUGCCAGCUGAGGACAGCUGCUUCACCUUCUUGGACCUGAAAGAUGCUUUCUUUAGCAUCAGAUUAUCCCGAGAGCCAGAAGCUGUUUGCUUUCAGUGGGCAGAUCCAGAGUCAGGUGUCACUACUCAGUACACUUGGACCGGGCUUCCCCAAGGGUUCAAGAACUCCCCCACCAUCUUCGGGGAGGCAUUGCCUCAAGACCUCCAGAAGUUUCCCACCAGAGACCUAGACUGCGUGUUGCUCCAGUACGUUGAUGAUCUUUUGCUGGGACACCCCAUGGCAGUCGGGUGCACCAAAGGAACAGAUGCUCUACUCCGGCACCUGGAGGACUGUGGGUAUAAGAUGUCCAAGAAAAAAGCUUAGAUCUGCCGACAGCAGGUACAUUACUUAGGAUUUACUAUCCGAAAGUGGGAGACAGCCUAGGAUCAGAAAGAAACAGGUCAUUUGAAAUCUACUGGAGCCUAAGACCAGAAGGCAGGUGAGAGAAUUCUUAUGGGCUGUGGGGUUUUGAAGACUGUAGAUCCCAAAAUUUGCAGUAUAAGCCAAGCCUUUGUAUGAGGUCACAAAGGGAGGGGGAACGGGAACGUUUUGAAUGGGGAUUCCAGCAACAGCAAGGCUUUCAUGAGUUAAAGGAAAA
RNAcentral lists this long non-coding RNA (1466 nucleotides) under Homo sapiens (human). Its description in RNAcentral is "non-protein coding lnc-FAM86C1-1:2". The record is from RNAcentral. Lineage: Eukaryota; Metazoa; Chordata; Mammalia; Primates; Hominidae.